This 363-nucleotide ribosomal RNA is filed under the name uncultured eukaryote. RNAcentral describes it as "partial 18S ribosomal RNA". It matches the Rfam family "Eukaryotic small subunit ribosomal RNA", at positions 592 to 976 of the family's 1831-position model. The record is from RNAcentral.
CAAUAGCGAAUACUAAUUCUGUUGCAGUUAAAAAGCUCGUAGUUGAACUUCUGGUAGGAGUGUCCCGGCCUUUUUGUUUUUACAAAUUGUAUGCUGUGUGACAUCUCUGGCCAUCCUUCUUCUUUGUUUAAAGAAGAUCUUUCACUGUAAAAAAAUUAGGGUGUUCAAAGCAAAAGUUUCUUUGGAAUAUAUUAGUAUGGGAUGAUAAGAUAGGCUCUAGAUGCUAUUUUGUUGGUUUGCACAUUUAGAGAAUGAUUAACAGGGACAGUUGGGGGUAUUCGUAUUUACAUGUCAGAGGUGAAAUUCUUGGAUUUUGGAAAGACGAACUACUGCGAAAGCAUUUACCAAGGAUGUUUUCAUUAA